RNAcentral lists this ribosomal RNA (253 nucleotides) under uncultured bacterium. RNAcentral describes it as "partial 16S ribosomal RNA". It matches the Rfam family "Bacterial small subunit ribosomal RNA", at positions 524 to 776 of the family's 1533-position model. The record is from RNAcentral.
UACGAAGGGUGCAAGCGUUAAUCGGAAUUACUGGGCGUAAAGUGUGCGCAGGCGGCCGAGCAAGUCGAGUGUGAAAGCCCCGAGCUUAACUUGGGAACUGCGCUCGAAACUACUUGGCUAGAGUGUGGCAGAGGGAGGUGGAAUUCCACGUGUAGCGGUGAAAUGCGUAGAGAUGUGGAGGAACACCGAUGGCGAAGGCAGCCUCCUGGGCCAACACUGACGCUCAUGCACGAAAGCGUGGGGAGCAAACAGG